Molecule: long non-coding RNA, 2255 nt
Filed under: Mustela putorius furo (domestic ferret)
Lineage: Eukaryota; Metazoa; Chordata; Mammalia; Carnivora; Mustelidae
Description: lncRNA (ENSMPUG00000025858.1)
Source: RNAcentral
CAAAGAAUUUGGUUUGACGUUUAAAAAGAAUGAAUAUACUGACCAUAUAUAAAUCACACUUUAUCACUACAUUCUUAAAAUAAAUCUACAAAAUUCAGAAAGAUGGUAGCAUGUGGCUUUGAAAGUUUCUUCUAGCUCAUUCGGAGCUAAGUGCUAGCGAUAUGAGGGAAAUUGUCCAGAGUGAAAGUUGUGGAAAAUGUGAGAUGGAAAAGUAAGGGGGGGGUCACUAGCUUUCUAGAAUUCUUGUAUCCUCAGACUGAAACCCUAGAAAGUUUCCUAAGUUGAUUGUAAAAAAAAAAAAUUGUCUUCAACUAGAUGUUAGUUCAACACCUGACAUCUACCACACCACACUGCUACAUUAUCCAAUGAUUUCAUAAAAGGAUUAGUCAUCAAAUAUGCACAGUUGCACUGUCUAUGUGUAACAGUGACUGGUCCCAGCAUAUGUGUGAUCAUGUAUUUCCUAUGUCCCAAAGCCAGAAGAUCCCAGCAUGAUAGCUGCAGUCAUGAACUACCACAGUGAAAUCAAAAACACCCAACAAGUUCAAGAAAAAAGAAAGCGAUAUUAUGAAUAAUAUUGCUAAGACGAUUCAUGUGCAGAUUUUUAUGUGGAUACGUGCUUUCAUUUCUCUCGGAUAUAUGCCUGGGAGUAGAACUGCUCGGUCAUGUGCAACUCUGGAGUAGAAAUUCUGGUUUGCAAGUAAGAAUGCUUCUGUAUCAAGGAACACAAGAAUGUCCUACUGAAUUAGAAACCGAAACUGCUAGUGGACCAUUUUGUGCUUCUCAUAUUACUGAACCAACAAGCAAAAAGAGAUAGAGAUUGAUUAACUGACUGACUGAUUACUGUCUAAAGUGACCAAUUCUGUUCCCAAAGAAGAGUUAGACUGCUGCUACAGAAAGCAUUAGGAAGGAAUACUUCUGGAACCUAGAGUAUUCUCUGAGGUACCUCUGUCUCUUAGUAUUUCCAUGUCCAACAGUAAAAGUUAAUGGAAAACUAUAUAAACAAAAAAACUGUAAAACCACUGCGGAUCAAACCUAACCAGAAUAAAGGUUUUAUGUCACCCCACCAAGUAAAAAGCCUGGAUCAUCUCAGAACAAAGGAAAAAUGAAAUGGACAGAAAGAAAGCUUCAGCCAUGGUCUCAUGACCACUGUCAGGACUGCUGAUGUUGACUAACUUAACAAUUCAGUCAUUAAGUCAUAGGUAUUUGUAUAGAACUGUGACUGUCUACGGCCAUAGCAUCCUGAAUGCGCCUGAUCCCGUCUGUACAGAACUGUGACUGAAUUUGAGAAGUGAUUACCAUUGCCCAGAGACAGAUAUCACGACUAUCUCCCAGAAAUGGGUAAAUGAUUAAUUGAGACCCCUGUCUGUACACUUUGAAUAGCAAGAGAAUAUAUGCCUCUCAAGUGAAAGAAAUUUUUUGCUGUUCUAUGGAAAUUCAAGUGUGAAUAGCAAGAGAAUAUAUGCCUCUCAAGUGAAAGAAAUUUUUUGCUGUUCUAUGGAAAUUCAAGUGUGUGUAGAAUUGAAUGGAUAAGUAACUAAAGAAAUGCACUGUGCUAAUAUUAAGCUAUUGUCACCUGGCUUCAAACUCACUCUCUAUGCUCCAAUUUGUUAUUCUAGAACUCCUGGUGGGUGAGCGAGGGUACUAAAAGACUAAAGAAAAAAGAAAGAAUGUACACUCUCCUGUUUGCACAAGUUUUCUACCCUGGAGAUACAACUGAUUCUAGUGGUACCAGUUGGCUCCACUAGUUUUUCCCACAGUCUUAGAACCAGCUUGACUUGAACCCUCUGAAAAAUCAGCACCUCCUAGCCAGUACUGUACCCUUCCUCAGAUGUCAAAAUUCAGAGUCAUAAUCCUCCAAGAUCUCGAGGCAACACCACCACCGGCUGGCAGUAAACUUCUAAUGAGCUCUAUAGGGCCCCCUCCAAACUUUUAUAUUUUAGUAAUUCACCAUCAUUCCUUUGUUCCUUGCAUGGUAGGUCCUUCCUGAAGUUACUAUCUCUUCAACACUUCUUUGCCUUUUCAGUUCUUUAGUAACUGAUUAUAGUUCUUCAUAUUAAAUUAAUUCUGUUAAAGUAAUUGUUGUGGUUUUUGUUUUUUUCCUAUGACCAAAAUGAUGUAUCUAUUAAUAUCACAUAACUAUGUGUGAAUAUAAAAUCAAACAACAAAGCUGGACAGUAGGUCUGAGUUCAGUUCCAAACCUCUAAGAAAAUCUUAUAUCUCAACAGACUGGACCUAUUUGUAAAAGACACUAUUUG